UACGUAGGGUGCAAGCGUUAAUCGGAAUUACUGGGCGUAAAGCGUGCGCAGGCGGUUUUUCAAGCCAGGUGUGAAAUCCCCGGGCUUAACCUGGGAACUGCAUUUGUGACUGCAAGGCUAGAGUGUGUCAGAGGGAGGUGGAAUUCCGCGUGUAGCAGUGAAAUGCGUAGAGAUGCGGAGGAACACCGAUGGCGAAGGCAGCCUCCUGGGAUAACACUGACGCUCAUGCACGAAAGCGUGGGGAGCAAACAGG
This 253-nucleotide ribosomal RNA is filed under the name uncultured bacterium. Its description in RNAcentral is "partial 16S ribosomal RNA". It matches the Rfam family "Bacterial small subunit ribosomal RNA", at positions 524 to 776 of the family's 1533-position model. The record is from RNAcentral.